UGCAAUCAAUUGUCUUUUAAAUGGAGACCUGUAUGAAUGGCAUAACGAGGGUUCACUGUCUCUUUUUUCCGGUCAAUGAAACUGAUCUGCCCGUGCAGAAGCGGGCAUAUUUACACAAGACGAGAAGACCCUAUGGAGCUUUAGACACCAACCAACCACGAAAAGCGACCCUGAUUGGAGCCCCAAACAACGUGAUUCUGGCAUAAGUGUCUUCGGUUGGGGCGACCACGGGAGAUAGCACAGCUCCCGAGUGGAUGGGGGACACCCUAAAACCCAGAGCCACAGCUCUAAGUCACAAAACAUUUGACCAAUAAUGAUCCGGCUUAAUGCCGACCAACGGACCAAGUUACCCUAG
RNAcentral lists this ribosomal RNA (355 nucleotides) under Sardinops sagax (South American pilchard). RNAcentral describes it as "partial 16S ribosomal RNA". It matches the Rfam family "Bacterial large subunit ribosomal RNA", at positions 1960 to 2471 of the family's 2925-position model. The record is from RNAcentral. Lineage: Eukaryota; Metazoa; Chordata; Actinopteri; Clupeiformes; Clupeidae.